Ahaetulla prasina is the source of this 382-nucleotide long non-coding RNA. RefSeq lists it as uncharacterized. The record is from RefSeq and is a predicted model, not a curated record. The transcript has 4 exons. NCBI's taxonomy places the organism in Eukaryota, Metazoa, Chordata, Lepidosauria, Squamata, Colubridae.
CCGAGACUCGGCAAUACCUUGAAGAGCUGAUGGCCCCGAAGGGCUAGUAAGAGCGGGAAGAAGGCAAAAGGGACCUCCCACGCCCGUAUCCAUCUCGGCCUGAGUAAAAGCUGCAACGACCCGAGGAAUCAGGUCACUUCCUUCUCAUUUCAUGCCUGGAGCAGCGGCGGCUGUACAAAUAACGUCGUUUACAAAACCAAUUCAGAAGGAUCAUAACUGGAAUUUAUGUCUCAUACAUCUAGAGAAGACAAAUUCUUUUUCAGAAGAGGAACUAGGGACUGAUUCUGAAAGUAAAGCAGGCUGAUUGCUGUUUGCUGCAAGGAGGCAAAAUUACUGGGAGGCAGAGGCAGAUUUCUUUUUCUUAUUUUCCUCACCAAAAAAG